AUAUUGCACAAUGGGGGAAACCCUGAUGCAGCCAUGCCGCGUGUGUGAAGAAGGCCUUCGGGUUGUAAAGCACUUUCAGUAGGGAGGAAAGGUAGCAGCUUAAUACGCUGUUGCUGUGACGUUACCUACAGAAGAAGGACCGGCUAACUCCGUGCCAGCAGCCGCGGUAAUACGGAGGGUCCGAGCGUUAAUCGGAAUUACUGGGCGUAAAGCGUGCGCAGGCGGUUUGUUAAGCGAGAUGUGAAAGCCCCGGGCUCAACCUGGGAAUUGCAUUUCGAACUGGCGAACUAGAGUCUUGUAGAGGGGGGUAGAAUUCCAGGUGUAGCGGUGAAAUGCGUAGAGAUCUGGAGGAAUACCGGUGGCGAAGGCGGCCCCCUGGACAAAGACUGACGCUCAGGCACGAAAGCGUGGGGAGCAAACAGGAUUAGAUACCCUGGUAGUCCACGCCGUAAACGAUGUCUACUCGGAGUUUGGUGUCUUGAACACUGGGCUCUCAAGCUAACGCAUUAAGUAGACCGCCUGGGGAGUACGGCCGCAAGGUUAAAACUCAAAUGAAUUGACGGGGCCCCCCA
This 572-nucleotide ribosomal RNA is filed under the name Shewanella sp. RNAcentral's name for it is "bacterial SSU rRNA". It matches the Rfam family "Bacterial small subunit ribosomal RNA", at positions 361 to 925 of the family's 1533-position model. Lineage: Bacteria; Pseudomonadati; Pseudomonadota; Gammaproteobacteria; Alteromonadales; Shewanellaceae. The record is from RNAcentral.